AACGAACGCUGGCGGCAGGCCUAACACAUGCAAGUCGAGCGCCCCGCAAGGGGAGCGGCGGACGGGUGAGUAACGCGUGGGAAUAUGCCCUUUGCUACGGAAUAGUCUCGGGAAACUGGGGGUAAUACCGUAUACGCCCUUUGGGGGAAAGAUUUAUCGGCGAAGGAUUAGCCCGCGUUGGAUUAGGUAGUUGGUGGGGUAAUGGCCUACCAAGCCGACGAUCCAUAGCUGGUUUGAGAGGAUGAUCAGCCACACUGGGACUGGGACACGGCCCAGACUCCUACGGGAGGCAGCAGGGGGGAAUCUUAGACAAUGGGGGCAACCCUGAUCGAGCCAUGCCGCGUGAGUGAUGAAGGCCUUAGGGUUGUAAAGCUCUUUCAGCUGGGAAGAUAAUGACGGUACCAGCAGAAGAAGCCCCGGCUAACUCCGUG
This 431-nucleotide ribosomal RNA is filed under the name uncultured bacterium. RNAcentral's name for it is "partial 16S ribosomal RNA". It matches the Rfam family "Bacterial small subunit ribosomal RNA", at positions 29 to 507 of the family's 1533-position model. The record is from RNAcentral.